GACGAACGCUGGCGGCGUGCUUAACACAUGCAAGUCGAACGGAAAGGCCCUGCCUUUGUGGGCUGCUCGAGUGGCGACCGGGUGAGUAACACGUGAGUACCCUGCCCCUGACUUUGGGAUAUCCUCAGGCCACUGGGUCUCAUACCGGCUAGGAGUUCUCGCUGCUUGGUGGGGGCUGGUAAGUUUCGGCGGUUGGGGAUGGACUGGCCGCCCAUCAGCUUGUUGGUGGGGUAGUGGCUUAGCAUGGCCUUGACAGGUAGCCGGGCUGAGAGGGGGAGCGGCCCAGUUAGGAUGGGGAUGAGACCCAGACUCGUACGGGAGGCAGCGGUGGAGUAGAGAACACAAUGGGCGGAAGGCUGGUGCAGCAACGCAGCGUGGGGGAUGACAGCCUGCGGGUUGGAAAGCGCAUCCGCCUGUGACGAAGCGUGAAUGACGGUAAUGGGUAAAGAAGCACCGGCUAACUACGUG
Molecule: ribosomal RNA, 468 nt
Filed under: uncultured bacterium
Lineage: Bacteria
Description: partial 16S ribosomal RNA
Rfam family: Bacterial small subunit ribosomal RNA
Source: RNAcentral